AUACUCACCUGGCAGGGGAGAUGCCAUAAUCAUGAAGGGAAUUUUCCCAAGAUGAGGCUUCUCCAUUGGACUCCUGAUGUGCUGACCCUUGUAAUUUCCCCAAAUGUGGGAAACUCGACUGUACAAUUUGUGGUAGCAGGUGACUGCGUUUCACCCUCUCUCUAG
This is a small nuclear RNA of Sorex fumeus (smoky shrew), 165 nucleotides long. RefSeq annotates it as U1 spliceosomal RNA. The record is from RefSeq and is a predicted model, not a curated record. NCBI's taxonomy places the organism in Eukaryota, Metazoa, Chordata, Mammalia, Eulipotyphla, Soricidae. The transcript has a single exon.